RNAcentral lists this ribosomal RNA (500 nucleotides) under uncultured bacterium. RNAcentral describes it as "bacterial SSU rRNA". It matches the Rfam family "Bacterial small subunit ribosomal RNA", at positions 8 to 507 of the family's 1533-position model. The record is from RNAcentral.
AGAGUUUGAUCAUGGCUCAGAACGAACGCUGGCGGCGUGCCUAACACAUGCAAGUCGAGCGCGAAUAGGGGCAACCCUUAGUAGAGCGGCGCACGGGUGCGUAACACGUGGAUAAUCUGCCUGGAUGCCCGGGAUAACCAGUCGAAAGAUUGGCUAAUACCGGAUAAGCCCACGGUUUCUUCGGAGACUGAGGGAAAAGGUGGCCUCUGUAUACAAGCUAUCACAACCAGAUGAGUCCGCGGCCCAUCAGCUUGUUGGUGAGGUAAUGGCUCACCAAGGCGACGACGGGUAGCCGGCCUGAGAGGGUGACCGGCCACACUGGGACUGAGACACGGCCCAGACUCCUACGGGAGGCAGCAGUGGGGAAUAUUGCACAAUGGGCGCAAGCCUGAUGCAGCGACGCCGCGUGAGGGAUGACGGCCUUCGGGUUGUAAACCUCUUUCAGUAGGGAAGAAGCGAAAGUGACGGUACCUGCAGAAGAAGCGCCGGCUAACUACGUG